GUCUAUGUCAGCCAUGUUAAUUCAGUCUUUGCCAUGCUGUCUUUUCGUCUGCUGCCAUCCUGCUUCUGUUUGAGCCAGAGACCUCAUCGUCUAGAAAUCUAAUACUGACAGGCCUCUCUGGGACUCCUGAGAUGGGUACGGUCCAUCCAUGGAAACAUCCUGGGAGAUCGUGAUUGCUUCUUUCAUGGCUGCUAGAAGUCCAUUCCCACCGUCACCUCUGAGCGCGGGGCCAAAACACUCCGGGUGGCGAAUCAACAACCUCAGCACCUCAUAGGCGUUCUCCUCCACGCUCUCACCUUCAGGCAAGGAGAGAAGCGUAAAGAAAAGAAGCAUAAAACACAGAUCUGGUUCCCUUAAAGCUAAAGCCAGUUCAUUAUUAUCCAUAACAGAGGCUGCAGCCACGUCAAGGGGAGUGGAACCACGCAUGGAGGGCAAAGCUAAAAAAGAAAAUUCAUCACUUCCAUUUUUUUUCCCAUCAGAAAAUUGCAUUCUAAAUAAUGAUAUGCAGAGUCAAAACAAUUUAAUAAAAGAAACUCGUUGCACCCAAUUGUUUUAGAAUAGAAUUUGCAUAUUUUUCUUGGGUUGACACAAAUAAUUUCAGUUCUAC
This 607-nucleotide long non-coding RNA is filed under the name Oryzias javanicus (javanese ricefish). Its description in RNAcentral is "lncRNA (ENSOJAG00000019958.1)". Lineage: Eukaryota; Metazoa; Chordata; Actinopteri; Beloniformes; Adrianichthyidae. The record is from RNAcentral.